This 468-nucleotide ribosomal RNA is filed under the name uncultured bacterium. RNAcentral's name for it is "partial 16S ribosomal RNA". It matches the Rfam family "Bacterial small subunit ribosomal RNA", at positions 28 to 507 of the family's 1533-position model. The record is from RNAcentral.
GACGAACGCUGGCGGCGUGCCUAACACAUGCAAGUCGAACGGAAAGGUCCUGCUCUUGUGGGGUGCUCGAGUGGCGAACGGGUGAGUAACACGUGAGUAACCCGCCCCUGACUUUGGGAUAACUUCAGGAAACUGGGGCUAAUACCGGAUAGGAGCUCCUGCUGCAUGGUGGGGGUUGGAAAGAUUCGGCGGUUGGGGAUGGACUCGCGGCUUAUCAGCUUGUUGGUGGGGUAGUGGCUUACCAAGGCUUUGACGGGUAGCCGGCCUGAGAGGGUGACCGGCGACAUGGGGACUGAGAUACGGCGCAGACUGCUACGGGAGGCAGCGGUGGGGAAUAUUACACAGUAGGCGGGAGCCUGAUACAACGGCGCCGCGUGCGGGAUGACGGCCUACGGGUUGUAAACCGCUUUCGCCUGUGACGAAGCGUGAGUGACGGUAAUGGGUAAAGAAGCACCGGCUAACUACGUG